AGUGGCAGACGGGUGAGUAAUGCAUAGGAAUCUACCUAGUAGUACGGAAUAAUUGUUGGAAACGGCAACUAAUACCGUAUACGCCCUACGGAGGAAAGAUUUAUCGCUAUUAGAUGAGCCUAUAUUAGAUUAGCUAGUUGGUAAGGUAAUGGCUUACCAAGGCAAUGAUCUAUAGCUGAUCUGAGAGGAUGAUCAGCCACACUGGAACUGAGAUACGGUCCAGACUCCUACGGGAGGCAGCAGUGGGGAAUAUUGGACAAUGGGCGAAAGCCUGAUCCAGCCAUGCCGCAUGAGUGAAGAAGGCCUUUGGGUUGUAAAGCUCUUUCGGUGAGGAAGAUAAUGACGGUACUCACAGAAGAAGUCCUGGCUAACUCCGUGCCAGCAGCCGCGGUAAUACGGAGAGGGCUAGCGUUAUUCGGAAUUAUUGGGCGUAAAGAGCGCGUAGGCUGGUUAGUAAGUUAAAAGUGAAAUCCCAAAGCUCAACUUUGGAAUUGCUUUUAAAACUGCUAACCUAGAGAUUGAAAGAGGAUAGAGGAAUUCCUAGUGUAGAGGUGAAAUUCGUAAAUAUUANGAGGAACACCAGUGGCGAAGGCGUCUAUCUGGUUCAAAUCUGACGCUGANGCGCGAAGGCGUGGGGAGCAAA
RNAcentral lists this ribosomal RNA (643 nucleotides) under uncultured Wolbachia sp. Its description in RNAcentral is "bacterial SSU rRNA". It matches the Rfam family "Bacterial small subunit ribosomal RNA", at positions 94 to 772 of the family's 1533-position model. The record is from RNAcentral. Lineage: Bacteria; Pseudomonadati; Pseudomonadota; Alphaproteobacteria; Rickettsiales; Anaplasmataceae.